AUCUACGGCCAUGCCACCCUGAACAAGCCCGAUUCCGUGUGAUCUCGGAAGCUAAGCGGGGCGGGGCCUGGUUAGUACUUGGAUGGGAGACCACCUAGGAAGACCAGGCGCUGUAAGCG
This 119-nucleotide ribosomal RNA is filed under the name Pteropus alecto (black flying fox). Lineage: Eukaryota; Metazoa; Chordata; Mammalia; Chiroptera; Pteropodidae. The record is from RNAcentral.